GCGGCUGUAGCCGCUCGGGGAAAGGCCCUCAGGGGUCGUCCGGAGAUGAGCCUGCGGUCCAUUAGCUGGUUGGUGUGGUAAAGGCGCACCAAGGCGACGAUGGAUAGCCGGCCUGAGAGGGUGAACGGUCACACUGGGACUGAGACACGGCCCAGAGUCGUACGGGAGGCAGCAGCUAAGAAUCUUCCGCAAUGGGCGCAAGCCUGACGGAGCGACGCCGCGUGAACGAAGAAGGCCGUGAGGUUGUAAAGUUCUUUUCCUGGGGAGGAAUAAGGCUCGGAGGGAAUGCCGAGUCGAUGACGUGAACCAGGGAAUAAGCCCCGGCUAAUUCCGUGCCAGCAGCCGCGGUAACACGGAAGGGGCAAGCGUUGUUCGGAUUUAUUGGGCGUAAAGGGCGUGUAGGCGGCAGUGCAAGUCUGGUGUGAAAUACUCCGGCUCAACCGGAGAGGCGCGCUGGAAACUGUGCUGCUUGAGUUUAGGAGGGGGAGCUGGAAUUCCUGGUGUAGGGGUGAAAUCUGUAGAGAUCAGGAAGAACACCGGAGGCGAAGGCGAGCUCCUGGCCAUAGACUGACGCUGAGGCGCGAAAGCCGUGGGGAGCGAACAGGAUUAGAUACCCUGGUAGUCCACGCUGUAAACGAUGUGCACUAGUUGUUGGGGAUGAUGAUCCUCAGUGCCGCAGCUAACGCGUUAAGUGCACCGCCUGGGGAGUAUGCUCGCAAGGGUGAAACUCAAAGGAAUUGACGGGGGCCCGCACAAUCGGUGGAGCAUGUGGUUUAAUUCGAUGAUACGCGAGAAACCUUACCAGGGCUUGACAUAUAGUGGACGGCUGUAGCGAUACAGCUUCCCUUCGGGGCCGCUAUACAGGUGCUGCAUGGCUGUCGUCAGCUCGUGCUGUGAAGUGUUGGGUUAAGUCCCGCAACGAGCGCAACCCCUGCCGUCUGUUGCCAUCAUUCAGUUGGGGACUCAGGCGGUACUGCCGGUGACAAACCGGAGCAAGGUGGGGACGACGUCAAGUCAUCAUGGCCCUUAUGUCCUGGGCUACACACGUGCUACAAUGGCCGGUACAGAGCGAAGCAAGACCGCGAGGUGGAGCAAAUCGCAGAAAACCGGUCUCAGUUCGGAUUGGAGUCUGAAACCCGACUUCAUGAAGGUGGA
RNAcentral lists this ribosomal RNA (1155 nucleotides) under uncultured organism. RNAcentral describes it as "bacterial SSU rRNA". It matches the Rfam family "Bacterial small subunit ribosomal RNA", at positions 183 to 1330 of the family's 1533-position model. The record is from RNAcentral.